RNAcentral lists this transfer RNA (65 nucleotides) under Vipera kaznakovi. RNAcentral describes it as "tRNA-Thr". RNAcentral also lists the same sequence under 1 other name. The record is from RNAcentral. Lineage: Eukaryota; Metazoa; Chordata; Lepidosauria; Squamata; Viperidae.
GCUCUAGUAGCUUAAACCCUCAAAGCACCGUUCUUGUAAAACGAAGCUGGAUUUCCCCUUGAGCA